GAAAUCUUUGCUGUUUAUACCAACCAUUCGUAUUGUUAAAAUGGACAACAUAUUCUACAUAAAACUAUUUUCGUUGAAACCCUAAAACUAAUUCUGAGUGCUAUUUCUCAAAACACUUUAAUCUUGCCUCCACCCUCUACCUCCAGCUCAAUCUAUUCGACCCAGUGGAACUCUAGCUCAAAAUCUUAGUUUAGUGGAACAAUCAGUCAAAACACCAUAUAGCCUCCCUCUAUUUUUCCCUCACCACCGUCGGUCCCGUCGUCAGCCACCGUUGAAAGUCCCAUCAUGUUCUUUCUUUCUUCUUCCUUUGCAUUUCCACCGAUCAAUUCCUUCCAAAACUCUCAUCCUCUACAAAACCCUAAACUCAAGUCCUCCCACCAUCACUUUUCUUUUCUCUGUCGCCGCCUCUAGAAGUCUUCUAAUUUGACGUUUUCAAAGUCAUGCCCCGGUAUUAUUGUGAUUACUGCAGCAUUUAUUUGACCCAUGACUCUUUCUGGAGAUGGGUUCACCAUCAAUGGUCGGGUGAAGAUCCCCCAAGGUCUGGGUACAAAAGGGUUUGCUUUGCCUGGAAGAAUGUCAAAUGUCAAAGUUAAUACUCAAUGGUGGCCACAACGUUACUUUUCUAAGACCUGAUGGAUAUUUUUCAUUGUGUCCUAAUAUUUUAUCAACUCUAAUGCAUAGUUCUAUUUGAAAAUUCAUAUCUUUUAGUUAUAUACUUUUUCUUUCUUUGUCCUGUCAAUGCUAUUUUUCUGUAAGUAGAUAAUUACAUACAAUGAUACAUUAUCCAAUGGACGAUAGUAAACCUUUCCUCAGGAGUAUUAUGAUUCCUUAAUGUGUAUUUUUAUAAAUUUUAGAUGUGAA
This is a non-coding RNA of Theobroma cacao (cacao), 861 nucleotides long. Lineage: Eukaryota; Viridiplantae; Streptophyta; Magnoliopsida; Malvales; Malvaceae. The record is from RefSeq and is a predicted model, not a curated record.